GCAGGGUCUGAUCUCUGCACCCCGGGCCCCCGCGCAGACCCGCGGACGAGCGCUGGGUGGGGAUUUCAACCUGCUCCAGCUGAUGUGCGCGGGGUUUGCACCCCGGGGAGGCGAGGGAGAGAGUCCGGCCACGUCCUGCCAGGCCCCGCCCGCGCCCCCGCUGCCCUCCAGCGCGGAACCCAGGUCCCAGGAGACGCGAGGCGCCCAAGGCCCCGGGAUUCCGAGCCAGUCAACCCCGGGCCGCGACGCUCUGGGAACCACACCCGUCCAGGAAGGCACCUUGGCCAAAGCCGGCUCCUUCGCAGAUGACCCGGGCCAGGGUCCGAGCGCCAGGCUGUGACCCCGCGAGGCUGUUCCACGCUGGCCGCGAGAGACGGAGGGCAGGAGGGGCCCGAAUAGGACAGAGAGAGAGAGAGAGAGAGACAGAAGGAGGCGCACGCGCUCCCCAGGGACCGGGACGCGGUGGUGGGCGGGACCUCGCGGGGGUGGGGGGUGGUCGCAGGACCCAGAAGGCUCAGGACCUUUACGGAUAGGGAGGACCCCGCAGGGGGGAGCGGGGGAGCCCCACGCCCGGCGUCCUCCGGGUGCGAGGGUCUCGGGGAGUCCGAGCCCGGGCCCACGGCCUCUGUCCCGCGGCCACUACCUGCUGGGGGUCCCGGGCCUGGGCCACGCCGGGCUGCCCUCGGGGACUUGCUGCGGCCGUUGAGGGGUCUCCGCGCGCCGCGCAGACUCGCCUCCCAACCCGAGGGCCCGGGCGGCCGCCGCCCAGAGCGUCCAGCGGCAGCGUCUUGCUCUCGAAGGCGUCCUCCACGCAGCGGAACACGCAGCCAAGCUUGGGCCGGGCCAGAGGCCUCGCGGGCUCCUGAGGCUGCCGCGCGGUCACGGCAGGAGCGGGCGACAGAAUCCGGUCUCGGAGCCUCCUGUAGCGAGCCACAGGAGGGAGCCUCCCAGGUGGUCGACCGGAGCCAGGUGCUGCCAGGCACCCGACUGCAGAGCUUGCCCUCCAGGUGAUCUCGCAGUAUCGGUGUUCACAAGCCCUGUAAGGCACUCGGGGUAUCCUGAAGGCUACAGAUUCUGCAAGGGCAGAGACUUUAAGGAACAGCCAUAGUCCUUCUCCAGCUCAAAAUCUGGACCAUGGGCACAAGGUACACAUUGGGACCAUGCCAGGAGCUCUCCCAGAGGAGGAGGCCAGGCUGGCAGGGAGCCAGGUAGAGUUACAACAUAUUUCUGGAUGCCUGCAUCGUAGAGUCCAUCGGACUUCAACCCAGCGGUUCACCCACAGCGCCACGGUAGCUUUUAUUAACACAAGGCUAUUGUGUGCCAUUCAGUUGUGAGUAUAAUAAAUGUGCCAAGAAGAUGCAGUCGUUAAAAUGAGACAAAACUAUGCACAGAGGACUAAACAGGAUUUCAGACUCGAGACGCAAACCCCGAGGUCAGGCUCAGCUAGAGACACUGAACUGGCCCAGUAUCUUGCCGAGUAAAUCAGGAACUGUGGCUUGAAUGACAACAGAAAUGGAUGGGUCUUUCUUGGACAAGUGCUGAUUAAUAGUGCAUUUUCCAGCAAAAAUCCUGCAGCCACCAAAGAAAAAGCAUAUCUGUCUGAUACUAUUAGCUUUUCCCUGAUUUCAACCUAGGGAGCCAUGCCUGGUCCGCAGCCACCGUGUCAUCUGCCCCAAAGUCAGACAUUUCUUCUGACACAAAUAUAAAAUGAGCCUAAUACUUCCAGACAACCCAGUCCUCCCUACGGCAGCUGAGUCGUGUCUUUUAUACAAUGCUGCCAGUAACAGUCACACCUGGCUGCACAGCUGGCUGCCUCAACUUCUAGGUGCCUCGAAAUGGCUAAAUCCCACGAAUGGCUCUUCUGGUUGCGUGAAAACAUGCAUAAACGCAUGCUUGUGCACACAAGUGAGCACACACACACACCUCCUGUCAAUUCAGCUCUGAGAGCAGAACCUUAGCCCACCUAGGGUGGGAGGACACAGAAGUUCCAUCUGCAGCCAGUCAGGCUCCAUCCACAGGCUGGACGAAGCUCCCGGGCUGCGUCCCGGGUCUCCCAGCAGGAAUGGAAAUCACACCUAACGUUGCCUUCACCAAUGCACUGCUUCCUCUCUGAAAAAGAGUGGAGAAAACGCCGUUUAGUGCGACGACCUGGGGAAUGUGUGUGACCCACCACAGGUCAGCACUCAAGGCAGUUGGGGCCUUGACCAGGCACUGGCUCUGCACAGGAUGGUCACUGAGCCAAUGGCAGGCACUGCCCUCAUGGGUCCAGCACCAGCUACAGCGCCACGUCCUGAGCCUCCAGCCCGGGAGACGCACCUGGCACCCACCGAAGGCCACACUCUCAGGAAGAUGAGUCCAUGCUCCUCACAAAGCCCCUACAGAAGUGACCUUGGAUCUUUCUCACCAUGUCUGGGCCAGCAGCCCGGUUUCUACCCAACUUCCCUCAUUGCUUAGAAAGUGGGCCUCUGCUAAGUUCAAAGUUUUUAUUACCUUUCCAUUUUUUCAUGUUUUUGAAGAAGUUAUGAAGGAUCUGCUUUUCACAAGGGCGGGCCCCGGAUCAGUCCCUGGGGCAUGGCAGCAUCGGGUGGGAGGCCACGUGGGCUGAGGGGCGGGAGCGAGGGCACGCUGGGACAGAGGCAGAGGGGCGGGAGUGAGGGCACGCUGGGACAGAGGCAGAGGGCCCGGCCGUAGAGACACCACGGUUUUCUAAUCUAGGAGAGGUCUGAAGAGCUUUUUGGUUUUUGAUUUAACCUAACUUCUAAGUAAGAAGAUAUUACCUCAAACAGAAUGAAAAAUAAAUGUAGUCAAAUGACACAUACAUGUUUACUUCUUCCCGUAUUAAGCGUUACAGUUGAAAUCUCUGCUGCAGUUAACAUAGUACCUUGUUCUUUGUGCCUUUAAUCGGGUUCGUUUCUAAAUAGGUUGUCCCGGAACCAUCGAUCUCUAGAAGGUACAGGAGGAAGGGGACCUGCCAGUCCAGCCCUCAUAUUUUACAGAGGGAAAAGGUGAAGCCCCAUGUAAAACAGGGAUUUCCCUCGGUGACACUUCCAGGCUGAGAAGGGCCGGGGAUCUGGACACCUACCCAGAAACACUCCCACCCUGUCAAUGCCUCUCUGAAUUAUGUGAUCAACUGCCUGGAGUAUGAACUAGGCACAUGCAAAUAGAGAACAGAGGUCUUGUUGAAAAUAUGAUGCUGAAUUUUAAAAACUCACUCCCCAAAUUAAAGGAACAAGACCAGAGCA
RNAcentral lists this long non-coding RNA (3242 nucleotides) under Homo sapiens (human). Its description in RNAcentral is "JAKMIP3 antisense RNA 1, transcript variant 6 (JAKMIP3-AS1)". The record is from RNAcentral. Lineage: Eukaryota; Metazoa; Chordata; Mammalia; Primates; Hominidae.